CUUCUCUUGUUGCUAGGAUCGCGAGAAGAGGGUAAGUAAACGAUUUCUUCAAACCAGCUUGCAGCUGUCAUUUUUUGUAGCCUGUAUCGCCCAUAGUGUCCCAAGGGGACAAGCUCAAUCUGCCUCACGUUGCAGUUGGAGGUUGCUGUCCUAUCUAUCUGGCUUACCCUCAGAUCCUCCCUUUUCCCCUCCUGGUUUCUUCCCGAACCUCUUGCUCUCCUUAAACCCUCUUUACUCGGAGUGAACCACCAUGGCAACAGCAAAGCCCAAAGGGCAGAACUCUCUGGCCCUCCACAAAGUGAUCAUGGUGGGCAGUGGUGGAGUGGGGAAGUCAGCCCUCACUCUGCAGUUCAUGUAUGACGAGUUUGUUGAGGACUAUGAACCAACCAAAGCGGACAGCUAUAGGAAAAAGGUAGUUCUGGAUGGGGAGGAGGUCCAGAUAGACAUCCUGGACACUGCGGGACAAGAGGACUAUGCUGCCAUCCGGGACAACUACUUCCGCAGUGGGGAGGGCUUCCUCUGUGUCUUUUCCAUUACUGAGGCAGAGUCGUUUGCAGCUACAGCAGACUUCAGGGAGCAGAUCUUGCGGGUGAAGGAGGAUGAGAGUGCACCCUUCCUCCUGGUGGGGAACAAGUCUGACUUGGAGGACCGGAGGCAGGUCAGCGCGGAAGAGGCCAAGGCGCGUGCUGAACAGUGGGGCGUGUGCUACGUGGAGACCUCUGCCAAAACCCGUGCCAAUGUCGACAAGGUGUUCUUUGACCUGAUGAGAGAGAUCCGAGCGAGGAAGAUGGAGGACAGUAAAGAGAAAAACGGCAAGAAGAAAAGGAAAAGUUUGGCCAAGAGGAUUAGAGAGAGAUGCUGCAUUUUAUAGUGACAAGGGGGUCAGUGAUGACUGCUUUGUGUAUAUAAAUAUUUCACCUAUUUUUGCAUUUUAUUUGUGCCCAUAGAAGCCCCUUACUCCUGGUUCUGGUACCCAGGGAUUCUAGUCUUGGAUCAGAAGUAACUGGUUGGUUUAACAAAAGGACACUGACCCAACACACCUCCAGGCUGGAGAGUGAUGGAGUGCUGACCUGGCCUCCGUAAUCACCUGACCUCAACCCAAUUGAGAUGGUUUGGGAUGAGUUGGACCACAGAGUGAAGGAAUAGCAGCCAAUAAGUGCUCUGCAUAUGUGGGAACUCCUUCAAGACUGUUGAAAAAACAUUCCAGGUGAAGCUGGUUGAGAGAGUGCCAAAGAAUGGCUACUUUGAAGAAUGUCAAAUAUUAAAAUACAUUUUGAUUUAGCACUUUUUUAGAUACUACAUCAUUCCACAUGUUAUUUCAUAGUUUUGAUGUCUUCACUAUUAUUAUACAAUGUAGAAAAUAGUAAAAAAAAAAAAAUGAAAAAAAAAAAACAUUGAGUAGGUGUCCAAACGUUUGACUGGUACUGUAGCUAGCAACGCUAAAGGGAUUUCUUACAGGUUAGUUUAACUCUAGCCAAACAAAACAUUGUUUUUCUAAUAAAAGUGAGCCAACUAGCUAAUUGAAGCAAGCAAACACCUUUCUUACAUGCUAGGAACGUAUUUUCUUCAACAUUUAAUGAAAAAAAAAGGUGCUUCUCUCCCAAAACACAAGUUUUCUGGAAACUUGUGGGCGGAGUGCUGAUGUGGCCCACUGCUUGCACCUUCAGUAGCCUGAUUGGGUCCAGAAUGAGAAGAAAUUCACACAUGCAUGCGUCUCUGACCACCUCUUGAAGUGGUGAGACGGAUCCGACCACCACGGAUCUGACUUUUGUGCAUCUAUACCAGUCUUUUUCAAUGCAAUGUUCAUAUUCUGAUAGGCGAAGUUGCAUGUAAAUGUCAAGUGUAGACAACCUUAGACAGGCAGUCCAAUUCUGAUUUGGCAAAAGAGCUUAAUCCCCCCGCUCUUGGUCAAAUUAGUGGGAAAAGAUCGUAAUUGGGCUGCCAGUGUAAACACAGCCUUAAAGUAAUUGUCCAGUGGAUCUAUUUUAAAAGUUAAAAAUUCUGAUAACCCAUACCCGUAUAAUGUCGUGACUCAGCCUAUACUCGUAUUUUUGGCCAAAGCAUGAAUUGGAGAAUAAACACUUCAAAACCACCACAAUUGUGUUUCUGACAGUUAAAAAAAAAAAAAAAAAAAAAAGCUUUUUAUUUCCGCAUGAAGGAUGAUGAGCUGGCCAAUCAGCUGUCUACUCAUUAUUAUUAUUUUGUUUUCACCCACUCCAUUCCUGCUCAAAGCUGUUUUUUAACAUAUUUUUUAAGAAUUGGUAGAAAAACUUUCACUUGUUUUGUAAUCAAUUAUCUGGAAACACUGGAAUGCUACUUUAAUAUAAAUCUGGAAAUACUGGAGUUACUUUGUUUUUGGGAAACUCACCCCAUGAUAGUUUGAACUUUUCAGUCUUACAUAACUUGAUGUUAAAACCCCCUGAAGUCUAUUGAUGCACCGGUGUGUUAUCUAAAUACCAUAAUUAAAAAAUCCCAUCAAUCUGUCAGGUUGAGCUAGAGAGAUCUAGCAUGGGCUACGUCUCAAUCCACUUCAUCCGCCUAUGUCGCCCUUCCGCAUCUGCAGUGGAAAGUGGCGGAGCUACAGAGCAGUUUGUCAAACCAGGAGACAUCCAGAAAAUCCUAGACUCACGAACAUGACGGUGUUCUCCGUGUUUUGCUUUGACGUCCACAAGUGUCGCUGGACCAGUCCUAAAGGUAACCCAAACAAAUGAAUGGAGGUAGUUUUGUGCCAACAAAAAUAAGGGGUUAAAUGUGUUGUUUAAUUCCUGAGCUUUCUUAUCUCAUUGAUAUAGGACAGACACUUCAAAACUUUAUUCCUUAUGAUUUAUUUUUGUACUGUCUUGUCGUUUAUGAAUGUAUAAUUCAUUGUGUUUAUGUGUUUAUCAGGGCUAUAGUAGUAAAGGCCAAGUGUAAUAUUUUGUCAUGCUUUAUUUAUUUUUUGGGGAUACCUAAAAGGCUCCUAAAAUUUCAAAUCAAAUAGCUAAAUGAUCCAUUGUAUGACCUUAAAACAAUUCCAUGUCAUCUUAGAACCCCCCGCCCCCCGCUCUUGUAGAAUUCUGUAGCACACCAUUAUCUACUUCCAUGGUGCCACCUUGCUUUCUGACUGACCUAGAUCAAGUUCUGUUUGUUUGUGUGUAUGCACGUGCGUGGGUCCAAGCCCCUACUUGGUAACUCUGUCUCAAAUGACAAAUGUUUUUAUUAACUUAUUUUCCUAUUGUUUGGCAUAAUCACAAUGGACUGGGCCAGGUCAAAUUGAGCAAGGCCAGGUCUGGUUCGUGAGACUUAUGUAGGGCAUUUUGUUGCAGUAAUGUGAAUGCAGGUGAAUUUUCUCUACAGGAAACUUUUAAUGUGAGUGUAUUUAUUUUAUUUUUUACUGUACACAUGUAUUGCCUUAUGUUUUAAUAUCCUUUUACUUUCAAUUUGUAAUAUUUAUCUUUAGUUUCAUAAAGCAAAUCAAUCUCAAUAUGGAUGUUGGUUAUACAUGUUGUGUAGUUAUUAUGUUGUCUGUUUACUCACAUCCUUAACAAAAACACUAAUGUAUCUUACUGUUACUGGGUACGAUAAUUGAAAUGCUGUGUACCUUUCAGUUCAUGUUUUGUGAGCUAUUGGAUAGACAAAUAAAGUGAUUAUAAUUUUUUACAAACAAA
Oncorhynchus keta (chum salmon) is the source of this 3647-nucleotide RNA transcript. It is a transcript of the gene named ras-related protein Ral-A, with no coding region annotated. The transcript has 6 exons. The record is from RefSeq and is a predicted model, not a curated record. Lineage: Eukaryota; Metazoa; Chordata; Actinopteri; Salmoniformes; Salmonidae.